GAUGAACGCUGGCGGCGUGCCUAAUACAUGCAAGUCGAGCGAACGGACGAGAAGCUUGCUUCUCUGAUGUUAGCGGCGGACGGGUGAGUAACACGUGGAUAACCUACCUAUAAGACUGGGAUAACUUCGGGAAACCGUAGCUAAUACCGGAUAAUAUUUUGAACCGCAUGGUUCAAAAGUGAAAGACGGUCUUGCUGUCACUUAUAGAUGGAUCCGCGCUGCAUUAGCUAGUUGGUAAGGUAACGGCUUACCAAGGCAACGAUGCAUAGCCGACCUGAGAGGGUGAUCGGCCACACUGGAACUGAGACACGGUCCAGACUCCUACGGGAGGCAGCAGUAGGGAAUCUUCCGCAAUGGGCGAAAGCCUGACGGAGCAACGCCGCGUGAGUGAUGAAGGUCUUCGGAUCGUAAAACUCUGUUAUUAGGGAAGAACAUAUGUGUAAGUAACUGUGCACAUCUUGACGGUACCUAAUCAGAAAGCCACGGCUAACUACGUGCCAGCAGCCGCGGUAAUACGUAGGUGGCAAGCGUUAUCCGGAAUUAUUGGGCGUAAAGCGCGCGUAGGCGGUUUUUUAAGUCUGAUGUGAAAGCCCACGGCUCAACCGUAGAGGGUCAUUGGAAACUGGAAAACUUGAGUGCAGAAGAGGAAAGUGGAAUUCCAUGUGUAGCGGUGAAAUGCGCAGAGAUAUGGAGGAACACCAGUGGCGAAGGCGACUUUCUGGUCUGUAACUGACGCUGAUGUGCGAAAGCGUGGGGAGCAAACAGG
RNAcentral lists this ribosomal RNA (766 nucleotides) under Staphylococcus aureus. RNAcentral's name for it is "bacterial SSU rRNA". It matches the Rfam family "Bacterial small subunit ribosomal RNA", at positions 28 to 776 of the family's 1533-position model. Lineage: Bacteria; Bacillati; Bacillota; Bacilli; Caryophanales; Staphylococcaceae. The record is from RNAcentral.